GGGUGUUUAGCUCAGUUGGUUAGAGCGCCAUGCUCACACCGUGGAGGUCACUGGUUCGAAUCCAGUAACACCCA
This 74-nucleotide transfer RNA is filed under the name Planctomycetia bacterium. RNAcentral's name for it is "tRNA-Val". It matches the Rfam family "tRNA". From Rfam's summary of the family: Transfer RNA (tRNA) molecules are approximately 80 nucleotides in length. The record is from RNAcentral. Lineage: Bacteria; Pseudomonadati; Planctomycetota; Planctomycetia.